This 75-nucleotide transfer RNA is filed under the name compost metagenome. RNAcentral describes it as "tRNA-Pro". It matches the Rfam family "tRNA". From Rfam's summary of the family: Transfer RNA (tRNA) molecules are approximately 80 nucleotides in length. Their secondary structure includes four short double-helical elements and three loops (D, anti-codon, and T loops). The record is from RNAcentral.
CUCGAUGUGGGUCAAAGGUUGAUCGCUUGGUUUGGGACCAAGAUCAUGCAGGUUCGAGUCCUGCCAUCGAGACCA